Molecule: long non-coding RNA, 872 nt
Filed under: Macaca mulatta (Rhesus monkey)
Lineage: Eukaryota; Metazoa; Chordata; Mammalia; Primates; Cercopithecidae
Description: lncRNA (ENSMMUG00000050968.1)
Source: RNAcentral
UGACCUCGUGAUCCGCUAUUUGUAUUCUUAUCUAACAUACUGAGAACUUUUUAUCACUGUAUUAAGUAUCCAUACAGUUGUAAAACAGCAAGUCUUUAGAAAAUGUUAAAUUGCAGAAUAAUCAUCAUCCAAUAAAUUAUAUAUUAUUUUAGGUUGAGAAUUGAAAUAAAAUAUACAAUUUGUAACAGCUACCUGCAAAUUUGCCAACCAACAUACAAUCAUAAAAUGUGAUUAACUAUUUGAAAAGAAGCACUUCAAAGAUUAAAGAAAUGACUAAAGAAAGCAUUUAAGGCUUUAAAGAGUGGCUUCAAAAGCAGUACGAUGUUGUUUUCUGCAGAGUUGUAAGGGACACCCGAAUCUUGCCUUGGCACAGCCACCCUUCUCUGACGGAAUGCCUAAGGGAUACAGAUGAAAGGUAACAGAGAUUUCAAGAGUUAAGCACCAACGUGGUGCAAUUCAGCGUGUUCUUUUAAAUAAAUCUUCGCGGCUCUAUGGAGGCUGCUCUACGGAGGCUGGACUGUCACAGGUAGAGCCUGAUGCACGAAGAUGAGACCCUGAGAUUGGGCAAGCAGGAGAUGCUGCGCCAGGGUAGCAUGCAGCCAAGGUUGCUUUCGAGACACACACUCUAAGACAAGGGAGCCCAUUUGAAACGGGAGAAGGCGAACCCUGACUCUCCAGUUCAUGGGUCCAGCAUUUGGUCCAGGGAAGCAAGAUUUUUCCACCAGACCUGGAGGUGCCGGAGAGCUGCACAGAAUCAGGAACGGGUGGCCCCCUUAGGAAGGGGAAAACAUACAGCAAAAACUAGAUUUCCAAUAAUACACAUUGCAAGGUGGUUGACAGGGUAAAUUAAAGAAUGGAUAAAAGCACAUGAG